AUUGUAGUCAUAUGCUUGUCUCAAAGAUUAAGCCAUGCAUGUCUAAGUAUAUACCUUUAUACGGUGAAACUGCGAAUGGCUCAUUAUAUCAGUUAUAAUUUACUUGAUGAUUUCUUUACUACAUGGAUAACCGUGGUAAUUCUAGAGCUAAUACAUGCAAAAAGCCCGACUUCUGGAAGGGUUGUAUUUAUUAGAUAAAAACCAAUGCCGGCAACGGCCUUUGGUGAGUCAUGAUAACUGCGCGGAUCGCAUGGCCUCGUGCUGGCGGUGCUUCAUUCAAAUAUCUGCCCUAUCAACUGUCGAUGGUAGGAUAGAGGCCUACCAUGGUUGCAACGGGUAACGGGGAAUAAU
RNAcentral lists this ribosomal RNA (351 nucleotides) under uncultured eukaryote. RNAcentral's name for it is "bacterial SSU rRNA". It matches the Rfam family "Eukaryotic small subunit ribosomal RNA", at positions 21 to 373 of the family's 1831-position model. The record is from RNAcentral.